GCCCGCGCUACCGCCGCCGCCCCCGCCAUGGGCGCCCCCGUGCCCGGGCCUCCGUCAUUCCCGGCCGGCCGGCACGGGCCGCCCGGCCAGCUAGGCCCGGUGUGUCAGCAAUGGGUUUUGUUGAGAAAAAGCAACAUUAAUAGUAAAAGCAACAUUAAUAGUAAAAGCUGCAUCAUCAGUGUUGUUUCUCAUCAAGGCACAGCAAAACAGACCAAGGUUCAGUUUCUGAAAGCUAUCUGACAGUAUCAUCCUGCUGGAUUUUUGCAUGCAUAAAGAAAGCUUGAGAGAGUGCCAGUUGGUACCGCUUGUCAUCAGAAUUUUUCCAGAUCACACUGUUGCUUCUGAAAG
This 348-nucleotide long non-coding RNA is filed under the name Crocodylus porosus (Australian saltwater crocodile). Its description in RNAcentral is "lncRNA (ENSCPRG00005007597.1)". Lineage: Eukaryota; Metazoa; Chordata; Crocodylia; Crocodylidae. The record is from RNAcentral.